GACGAACCGUGCGAACGUUGUUCGGAUUCACUGGGCUUAAAGGGCGCGUAGGCGGGCCUUCAAGUCCGGGGUGAAAUCCUCUCGCUUAACGAGAGAACUGCCCCGGAUACUGAAGGCCUCGAGGGAGGUAGGGGCAUGUGGAACUUCCGGUGGAGCGGUGAAAUGCGUAGAUAUCGGAAGGAACGCCGGUGGCGAAAGCGGCUCGCUGGACCUCUUCUGACGCUGAGGCGCGAAAGCCAGGGGAGCAAACGGG
Molecule: ribosomal RNA, 253 nt
Filed under: uncultured bacterium
Lineage: Bacteria
Description: partial 16S ribosomal RNA
Rfam family: Bacterial small subunit ribosomal RNA
Source: RNAcentral